GACGAACGCUGGCGGCGUGCUUAACACAUGCAAGUCGAACGGUGAAGCUCCAGCUUGCUGGAGUGGAUCAGUGGCGAACGGGUGAGUAACACGUGAGCAACCUGCCCCUGACUCUGGAAUAAGCGCUGGAAACGGCGUCUAAUACUGGAUACGAGAAGGGUCCGCAUGGGCACUUUCUGGAAAGUUUUUCGGUUGGGGAUGGGCUCGCGGCCUAUCAGCUUGUUGGUGAGGUAAUGGCUCACCAAGGCGACGACGGGUAGCCGGCCUGAGAGGGCGACCGGCCACACUGGGACUGAGACACGGCCCAGACUCCUACGGGAGGCAGCAGUGGGGAAUAUUGCACAAUGGGCGAAAGCCUGAUGCAGCGACGCCGCGUGAGGGAGGACGGCCUUCGGGUAGUAAACCUCUUUCAGCAGGGAAGAAGCGAAAGUGACGGUACCUGCAGAAGAAGCACCGGCUAACUACGU
Molecule: ribosomal RNA, 467 nt
Filed under: uncultured bacterium
Lineage: Bacteria
Description: partial 16S ribosomal RNA
Rfam family: Bacterial small subunit ribosomal RNA
Source: RNAcentral